RNAcentral lists this ribosomal RNA (433 nucleotides) under uncultured bacterium. Its description in RNAcentral is "partial 16S ribosomal RNA". It matches the Rfam family "Bacterial small subunit ribosomal RNA", at positions 29 to 507 of the family's 1533-position model. The record is from RNAcentral.
AACGAACGCUGGCGGCAUGCCUAACACAUGCAAGUCGAACGAGACCUUCGGGUCUAGUGGCGCACGGGUGCGUAACGCGUGGGAAUCUGCCCUUGGGUUCGGGAUAACAGUUGGAAACGACUGCUAAUACCGGAUGAUGACUUCGGUCCAAAGAUUUAUCGCCCAGGGAUGAGCCCGCGUCGGAUUAGCUAGUUGGUGAGGUAAGAGCUCACCAAGGCGACGAUCCGUAGCUGGUCUGAGAGGAUGAUCAGCCACACUGGGACUGAGACACGGCCCAGACUCUGACGGGAGGGGGGAGGGGGAAAUAGAGAAAAAGGGGGGAAGGCUGGACAAACCUAGGCGGGGGGAGGAAUGAAGCCUUGGGGGUAGAAACUCUUUUUUACCGGGGAAGAUAAUGACGGUACCGGAUAAAAAAGCCCCGGCUAACCCCGUC